RNAcentral lists this ribosomal RNA (729 nucleotides) under Triticum aestivum (bread wheat). Its description in RNAcentral is "partial small subunit ribosomal RNA". The record is from RNAcentral. Lineage: Eukaryota; Viridiplantae; Streptophyta; Magnoliopsida; Poales; Poaceae.
AUGCCAAGUCGCCUCCUCCCGAUCCGCGCCCCCUCCCUCGCCAAGCCCACAGCUCUCAGAUUUGCUAAACAUAUGGCUUCAAAUACUGGCAAGAAGCUCAUUCAGAUCGACGUGAGCUCGGAUACAGUGUGCCCUUGGUGCUUUGUUGGGAAAAAGAAUCUUGAGAAAGCUAUGGAGCAAACCAUGGACAAGUUUGAUUUUGAGGUUCGUUGGCAUCCAUUUUUUCUGAACCCUGAUGCACCUAAGGAAGGUGUCAAGAAAUCUGAUUUCUACAAGACCAAGUUUGGCCCUGUGCAGUUUGAGCGUGCAACUGCUCGCAUGAGAGAGAUGUUCCGAGGACUUGGCUUUGAAUAUGACAUGUCAGGACUCACCGGGAAUACAAUGGACAGCCAUAGGCUCAUAACACUUGCCGGACACCAAGGCUAUGAUAAACAAAAUGCUCUUCUAGACGAACUAUUCGUCAGUUAUUUUUGCCAAGGAAAAUAUAUUGGUGAUAGGCAAGUUCUUAUGGAUGCUGCAAGAAAGGUGGGCAUAGAAGGAGCAGAAGAACUUCUGCUGGACCCUAGCAAAGGAGUCGAUGAGGUUAAGGAAGAACUCAACAAAUACUCUUCUGGCAUUUCUGGAGUCCCUCACUUUGUGAUCAAUGGAAAAUAUCAACUCAGUGGUGGUCAGCCUCCAAACAUAUUCAUGAGGGCGUUCGAGACUGCUGCGAAAGAUGCAGCUGAAUGA